Betta splendens (Siamese fighting fish) is the source of this 198-nucleotide small nucleolar RNA. Its record names the gene U3. It matches the Rfam family "Small nucleolar RNA U3". From Rfam's summary of the family: Small nucleolar RNAs (snoRNAs) are involved in the processing and modification of rRNA in the nucleolus. There are two main classes of snoRNAs: the box C/D class, and the box H/ACA class. Lineage: Eukaryota; Metazoa; Chordata; Actinopteri; Anabantiformes; Osphronemidae. The record is from Ensembl.
AAGACUAUGCUUUCAGGGAUCAUUUCUAUAGUUUCUGACUUGAGAAAUGUGUUUCUAAAGUGUAUGGUCUCGCUACCCACGAUGAAGAGUCAUGAUAUUCCUUUCUGAGCAUGAAGCGGAUAGAGAAUAAUGAUUCAGGUCAUACUGUAUGUUCUCUGUUCCUCAAUGCUUCUUGGUGGAAAACUGAUAUAUAGUACU